RNAcentral lists this ribosomal RNA (119 nucleotides) under Pteropus alecto (black flying fox). The record is from RNAcentral. Lineage: Eukaryota; Metazoa; Chordata; Mammalia; Chiroptera; Pteropodidae.
GCCUAAUGCCAUGCCACCCUGAACAAGCCCAAUCCCGUCUGAUCUCGGAAGCUAAGCAGGGUCGGGCCUGGUUACUACUUGGAUGGGAGAACACCUAGGAAGACCAGGUGCUGUAGGCG